GCCGUUCAGACGUACAUGUACGCAUCAUUUGGAACUGAAAAUUACGUAAUUUAUCGACCUGCUGGCUUGUAUUUGUUAUAAAUCAUAAAAAACCUGUGACGCCAGUGGAACUACGUGGUUUUCUUUUGUGAUGAUUUGAUGAUACCUCAAUGGAAUUGAGCCAAGUUUUCGCCGUAAGUAAUAACGUAUUGGGUGCUAGAUGCCCCUUGGAGUUAAGCCCCAGUGCCACUAUACUACCUUACCAGUUAUGUGUGGGUGUUGUAGUCCUAAGACACCCCGGAGGUACAAAGGCCUUCACAAACUCACGCCACGCCUUCCUAUCUUCAGCAACCCUCGUGACCUCGCUCCACCAGCUCAAACCUGCCACUCGCAGCUCAUUUUUCGACGGACCGCUUCCAUGAGUAGACAAGGCACCGACGAUCACGGCUUGCAUCACCUGUACUGCUAUGUAAUAUAGUAUGCUGAGCAUCGCUGCCAUUAUACUAGGAUCAACGUCCUGCCCCUUCCCCGGCUAUGUACAAAUUGGAACUCCAUGCCCCUGCAUGCCCCUUUGACUGAGCAACAUGUGUGUGCUCGAAACACAUUCAAUUGCAACAAAAUGACUCCCAGGCUGACCUGGCCCAGCUCUUGUUUCAAUGAAAGAGUGAAAAUUCUUCUCCAUGUACAAUCACUUCUAACGCCUACACUGACUACCCCAAAUAUGAUCAUCACUCAACGUGUCUCACAUCAAGAAACUUUUCAAAAGUCAUCGAGAAGAGAAACAUGAUAUCUUUUCCCAUUGUUUCCUGAAUAAUCCUAACUAAAAGUUACUUCUCUAUUCUAUUUUUCCUGCAUGGAGUGGCGUUUUUCCGUCUAAUGGAAACGAAAUGAACAUAUAUGCUCUGGGUUUUUUUUGUUUUUGUGCACCUUUUCAAUAUUACUAAU
This is a long non-coding RNA of Leguminivora glycinivorella, 924 nucleotides long. RefSeq lists it as uncharacterized. The transcript is spliced from 5 exons. The record is from RefSeq and is a predicted model, not a curated record. Lineage: Eukaryota; Metazoa; Arthropoda; Insecta; Lepidoptera; Tortricidae.